Molecule: ribosomal RNA, 1481 nt
Filed under: uncultured bacterium
Lineage: Bacteria
Description: bacterial SSU rRNA
Rfam family: Bacterial small subunit ribosomal RNA
Source: RNAcentral
AGAGUUUGAUCCUGGCUCAGGAUGAACGCUGGCGGCGUGCCUAACACAUGCAAGUCGAGCGUGAACUCUCGGAACGAAACUUCGGUCUAGGGAAGAGGGGGAAAGCGGCGGACGGGUGAGUAACGCGUAGGUAACCUGCCCCAUACGUAGGGAUAGCCUAGGGAAACCUGGAUUAAUACCUGAUAAUGCGAGGAGGCCACAUGGCCACUUCGCCAAAGAUUCAUCGGUAUGGGAUGGACCUGCGUCUGAUUAGCUAGUUGGUGGGGUAACGGCCUACCAGGGCAACGAUCAGUAGCCGACCUGAGAGGGUAAUCGGCCACAUUGGAACUGAGACACGGUCCAAACUCCUACGGGAGGCAGCAGUGGGGAAUAUUGCACAAUGGGCGCAAGCCUGAUGCAGCAACGCCGCGUGAGUGAAGAAGGUCUUCGGGUCGUAAAACUCUGUCCUUAGGGAAGAAACAAAUGACGGUACCUAAGGAGGAAGCCCCGGCUAACUACGUGCCAGCAGCCGCGGUAAUACGUAGGGGGCAAGCGUUAUCCGGAAUUAUUGGGCGUAAAGAGUACGAAGGUGGUUUUGUAAGCGCAGGGUGAAAGGCCGAGGCUUAACUUCGGUUAGCCUUGCGAACUGCAAGACUUGGGUGCAGGAGAGGAAAGUGGAAUUCCUAGUGUAGCGGUGAAAUGCGUAGAUAUUAGGAGGAACAUCAGUGGCGAAGGCGACUUUCUGGACUGUAACUGACACUGAGGUACGAAAGCGUGGGGAGCAAACAGGAUUAGAUACCCUGGUAGUCCACGCCGUAAACGAUGAGCACUAGGUGUCGGGGUCGCAAGGCUUCGGUGCCGCAGUUAACGCAUUAAGUGCUCCGCCUGGGGAGUACGCACGCAAGUGUGAAGCUCAAAGGAAUUGACGGGGACCCGCACAAGCAGCGGAGCAUGUGGUUUAAUUCGAGGCAACGCGAAGAACCUUACCAGGGCUUGACAUCCCUCUGACCGGCCGGUAACGCGGCCUUCCCUUCGGGGCAGAGGUGACAGGUGGUGCAUGGUUGUCGUCAGCUCGUGUCGUGAGAUGUUGGGUUAAGUCCCGCAACGAGCGCAACCCUUGUCAUUAGUUGCCAUCAUUCAGUUGGGCACUCUAGUGAGACUGCCGGGGACAACUCGGAGGAAGGUGGGGAUGACGUCAAAUCAUCAUGCCCCUUAUGUUCUGGGCUACACACGUGCUACAAUGGCCGGUACAGAGAGAAGCAAUACUGUGAAGUGGAGCAAAACUCUAAAACCGGUCCCAGUUCGGAUUGUAGGCUGCAACUCGCCUACAUGAAGUCGGAGUUGCUAGUAAUUGCGAAUCAGAACGUCGCGGUGAAUGCGUUCCCGGGUCUUGUACACACCGCCCGUCACACCAUGGAAGUUGGGGGCGCCCGAAGUUGGUCAUCUAAUCGAUUACCUAAGGCGAAACCAAUGAUUGGGGUGAAGUCGUAACAAGGUAGCCG